AAUCUGCGAUAAGCGUCGGUAAGGUGAUAUGAACCGUUAUAACCGGCGAUUUCCGAAUGGGGAAACCCAGUGUGUUUCGACACACUAUCAUUAACUGAAUCCAUAGGUUAAUGAGGCGAACCGGGGGAACUGAAACAUCUAAGUACCCCGAGGAAAAGAAAUCAACCGAGAUUCCCCCAGUAGCGGCGAGCGAACGGGGAGCAGCCCAGAGCCUGAAUCAGUGUGUGUGUUAGUGGAAGCGUCUGGAAAGGCGCGCGAUACAGGGUGACAGCCCCGUACACAAAAAUGCACAUGCUGUGAGCUCGAUGAGUAGGGCGGGACACGUGGUAUCCUGUCUGAAUAUGGGGGGACCAUCCUCCAAGGCUAAAUACUCCUGACUGACCGAUAGUGAACCAGUACCGUGAGGGAAAGGCGAAAAGAACCCCGGCGAGGGGAGUGAAAAAGAACCUGAAACCGUGUACGUACAAGCAGUGGGAGCACGCUUAGGCGUGUGACUGCGUACCUUUUGUAUAAUGGGUCAGCGACUUAUAUUCUGUAGCAAGGUUAACCGAAUAGGGGAGCCGAAGGGAAACCGAGUCUUAACUGGGCGUUAAGUUGCAGGGUAUAGACCCGAAACCCGGUGAUCUAGCCAUGGGCAGGUUGAAGGUUGGGUAACACUAACUGGAGGACCGAACCGACUAAUGUUGAAAAAUUAGCGGAUGACUUGUGGCUGGGGGUGAAAGGCCAAUCAAACCGGGAGAUAGCUGGUUCUCCCCGAAAGCUAUUUAGGUAGCGCCUCGUGAAUUCAUCUCCGGGGGUAGAGCACUGUUUCGGCAAGGGGGUCAUCCCGACUUACCAACCCGAUGCAAACUGCGAAUACCGGAGAAUGUUAUCACGGGAGACACACGGCGGGUGCUAACGUCCGUCGUGAAGAGGGAAACAACCCAGACCGCCAGCUAAGGUCCCAAAGUCAUGGUUAAGUGGGAAACGAUGUGGGAAGGCCCAGACAGCCAGGAUGUUGGCUUAGAAGCAGCCAUCAUUUAAAGAAAGCGUAAUAGCUCACUGGUCGAGUCGGCCUGCGCGGAAGAUGUAACGGGGCUAAACCAUGCACCGAAGCUGCGGCAGCGACGCUUAUGCGUUGUUGGGUAGGGGAGCGUUCUGUAAGCCUGUGAAGGUGUGCUGUGAGGCAUGCUGGAGGUAUCAGAAGUGCGAAUGCUGACAUAAGUAACGAUAAAGCGGGUGAAAAGCCCGCUCGCCGGAAGACCAAGGGUUCCUGUCCAACGUUAAUCGGGGCAGGGUGAGUCGACCCCUAAGGCGAGGCCGAAAGGCGUAGUCGAUGGGAAACAGGUUAAUAUUCCUGUACUUGGUGUUACUGCGAAGGGGGGACGGAGAAGGCUAUGUUGGCCGGGCGACGGUUGUCCCGGUUUAAGCGUGUAGGCUGGUUUUCCAGGCAAAUCCGGAAAAUCAAGGCUGAGGCGUGAUGACGAGGUACUACGGUGCUGAAGCAACAAAUGCCCUGCUUCCAGGAAAAGCCUCUAAGCAUCAGGUAACAUCAAAUCGUACCCCAAACCGACACAGGUGGUCAGGUAGAGAAUACCAAGGCGCUUGAGAGAACUCGGGUGAAGGAACUAGGCAAAAUGGUGCCGUAACUUCGGGAGAAGGCACGCUGAUAUGUAGGUGAAGUCCCUUGCGGAUGGAGCUGAAAUCAGUCGAAGAUACCAGCUGGCUGCAACUGUUUAUUAAAAACACAGCACUGUGCAAACACGAAAGUGGACGUAUACGGUGUGACGCCUGCCCGGUGCCGGAAGGUUAAUUGAUGGGGUUAGCGGUAACGCGAAGCUCUUGAUCGAAGCCCCGGUAAACGGCGGCCGUAACUAUAACGGUCCUAAGGUAGCGAAAUUCCUUGUCGGGUAAGUUCCGACCUGCACGAAUGGCGUAAUGAUGGCCAGGCUGUCUCCACCCGAGACUCAGUGAAAUUGAACUCGCUGUGAAGAUGCAGUGUACCCGCGGCAAGACGGAAAGACCCCGUGAACCUUUACUAUAGCUUGACACUGAACAUUGAGCCUUGAUGUGUAGGAUAGGUGGGAGGCUUUGAAGUGUGGACGCCAGUCUGCAUGGAGCCGACCUUGAAAUACCACCCUUUAAUGUUUGAUGUUCUAACGUUGACCCGUAAUCCGGGUUGCGGACAGUGUCUGGUGGGUAGUUUGACUGGGGCGGUCUCCUCCUAAAGAGUAACGGAGGAGCACGAAGGUUGGCUAAUCCUGGUCGGACAUCAGGAGGUUAGUGCAAUGGCAUAAGCCAGCUUGACUGCGAGCGUGACGGCGCGAGCAGGUGCGAAAGCAGGUCAUAGUGAUCCGGUGGUUCUGAAUGGAAGGGCCAUCGCUCAACGGAUAAAAGGUACUCCGGGGAUAACAGGCUGAUACCGCCCAAGAGUUCAUAUCGACGGCGGUGUUUGGCACCUCGAUGUCGGCUCAUCACAUCCUGGGGCUGAAGUAGGUCCCAAGGGUAUGGCUGUUCGCCAUUUAAAGUGGUACGCGAGCUGGGUUUAGAACGUCGUGAGACAGUUCGGUCCCUAUCUGCCGUGGGCGCUGGAGAACUGAGGGGGGCUGCUCCUAGUACGAGAGGACCGGAGUGGACGCAUCACUGGUGUUCGGGUUGUCAUGCCAAUGGCACUGCCCGGUAGCUAAAUGCGGAAGAGAUAAGUGCUGAAAGCAUCUAAGCACGAAACUUGCCCCGAGAUGAGUUCUCCCUGACUCCUUGAGAGUCCUGAAGGAACGUUGAAGACGACGACGUUGAUAGGCCGGGUGUGUAAGCGCAGCGAUGCGUUGAGCUAACCGGUACUAAUGAACCGUGAGGCUUAACC
Molecule: ribosomal RNA, 2842 nt
Filed under: Escherichia coli 1-176-05_S3_C1
Lineage: Bacteria; Pseudomonadati; Pseudomonadota; Gammaproteobacteria; Enterobacterales; Enterobacteriaceae
Description: bacterial LSU rRNA
Rfam family: Bacterial large subunit ribosomal RNA
Source: RNAcentral